ACGAACGCUGGCGGCAUGCCUAACACAUGCAAGUCGCACGAGACCUUCGGGUCUAGUGGCGCACGGGUGCGUAACGCGUGGGAACCUGCCCUUAGGUUCGGAAUAACUCCCCGAAAGGGGUGCAAAUACCGGAUAAUGUCUUCGGACCAAAGAUUUAUCGCCUUUGGAUGGGCCCGCGUUGGAUUAGCUAGUUGGUAGGGUAAAAGCCUACCAAGGCGACGAUCCAUAGCUGGUCUGAGAGGAUGAUCAGCCACACUGGGACUGAGACACGGCCCAGACUCCUACGGGAGGCAGCAGUGGGGAAUAUUGGACAAUGGGCGAAAGCCUGAUCCAGCAAUGCCGCGUGAGUGAUGAAGGCCUUAGGGUUGUAAAGCUCUUUUACCCGGGAUGAUAAUGACAGUACCGGGAGAAUAAGCUCCGGCUAACUCCGUG
Molecule: ribosomal RNA, 432 nt
Filed under: uncultured bacterium
Lineage: Bacteria
Description: partial 16S ribosomal RNA
Rfam family: Bacterial small subunit ribosomal RNA
Source: RNAcentral